UACGAAGGGGGCUAGCGUUGCUCGGAAUUACUGGGCGUAAAGGGUGCGUAGGCGGCUUUUCAAGUAAGAUGUUAAAGCCUUGGGCUUAACCCAAGAACUGCAUUUUAAACUGGAAGGCUAGAGUGUGACAGAGGAAAGCGGAAUUCCUAGUGUAGAGGUGAAAUUCGUAGAUAUUAGGAGGAACACCAGAGGCGAAGGCGGCUUUCUGGGUCACUACUGACGCUGAGGCACGAAAGCGUGGGGAGCAAACAGG
RNAcentral lists this ribosomal RNA (253 nucleotides) under uncultured bacterium. RNAcentral describes it as "partial 16S ribosomal RNA". It matches the Rfam family "Bacterial small subunit ribosomal RNA", at positions 524 to 776 of the family's 1533-position model. The record is from RNAcentral.